CGCUUUUCGAUAGCUCAGCUGGUAAAGCAUCCACCCAGUAUGCGGAAGGUCGCCGGUUCGAUUCCGGCUCGCGGCGU
This 77-nucleotide transfer RNA is filed under the name Fasciola hepatica (liver fluke). RNAcentral describes it as "tRNA-Thr". The stretch from base 8 to 71 matches the Rfam family "tRNA", at positions 5 to 66 of the family's 71-position model. Rfam says of the family: Transfer RNA (tRNA) molecules are approximately 80 nucleotides in length. Their secondary structure includes four short double-helical elements and three loops (D, anti-codon, and T loops). Further hydrogen bonds mediate the characteristic L-shaped molecular structure. tRNAs have two regions of fundamental functional importance: the anti-codon, which is responsible for specific mRNA codon recognition, and the 3' end, to which the tRNAs corresponding amino acid is attached (by aminoacyl-tRNA synthetases). tRNAs cope with the degeneracy of the genetic code in two manners: having more than one tRNA (with a specific anti-codon) for a particular amino acid; and 'wobble' base-pairing, i.e. permitting non-standard base-pairing at the 3rd anti-codon position. The record is from RNAcentral. Lineage: Eukaryota; Metazoa; Platyhelminthes; Trematoda; Plagiorchiida; Fasciolidae.